This 253-nucleotide ribosomal RNA is filed under the name uncultured bacterium. RNAcentral's name for it is "partial 16S ribosomal RNA". It matches the Rfam family "Bacterial small subunit ribosomal RNA", at positions 524 to 776 of the family's 1533-position model. The record is from RNAcentral.
GACGAAGGACCCGAGCGUUAUCCGGAUUCAUUGGGUUUAAAGGGUGCGUAGGCGGAUUGGUAAGUCAGUGGUGAAAUCUCCAGGCUCAACUUGGAAAUUGCCAUUGAUACUGCCAGUCUUGAGUACAGCUGAUGUGGGCGGAAUAUGACAUGUAGCGGUGAAAUGCUUAGAUAUGUCAUAGAACACCGAUUGCGAAGGCAGCUCACAAAACUGUAACUGACGCUGAGGCACGAAAGCGUGGGGAUCAAACAGG